Molecule: long non-coding RNA, 1203 nt
Organism: Actinia tenebrosa (Australian red waratah sea anemone)
Lineage: Eukaryota; Metazoa; Cnidaria; Anthozoa; Actiniaria; Actiniidae
Source: RefSeq, a predicted model, not a curated record
AUCAUUUUAUCUACUAGAUAAAGAAUUAACCAUGUACUGACGGAUGGUACUAUCCCCGCACCCUUCCUGCAACCGGGCCCAGGUGUGCUGGCCAAGAAAAUAUGUUCUUUCUUCCAGUGACUGGAUGUAAAAUGAGCGAAAUGUUUCUUCGCAUGUACAUUACAGAUAUUUUCUCACCUUAUUUGGUCGAAUUUGCUGGAACACAAACCCUCGUUCAAACAAAGAGUCGUAUUUGAAGUUAUACGAGGAACAGUCGACAUCUGAGUGGCACUCUUGGAGGCAAGCCAUCCAGUCUUGUGUUUCGAUGCGUCGAAAUAUUUGUUUGGGCAUAAUAUGAUUGUAAACGGUUAAUGGAUAGAAAGCUACCAUUCCCGCGGGAAGUAUUGCAGCAAAGAAAGUAACGAGCAAAACACUUUUUCGGAAAGACGAACAAAGUGAUGUAAAGUCGACAAUUUCUUGCUGCAUCACGAAAUUUCUUCUUUGAAACUGAAUUUCUUUGGCAAUGUUCAGUAGUUGCUUGGACUUGGAUGGAGUCAACCGAUAAGUAUUCGUUCUCAGUGACUGUUUAAACCAGUUGAUGCGCUGUCUCUGGAUAAAUCGACUUAUUUCCCGAGUCAACAAAACAAAUAUUCAUUAAAUGGGAAUAAAUAGUUUGUACAGCUGCCUUGGUAAAGCAACCAGCGAAGUCUUCGCUUCAGUAGCAAACAUAGGCUCAAAAUUGCAUCCACUUAUUUUCCAGUUGUCAGGAUUGGAAAAGUAAGGCAUUAAUAUACGAUGUAUUGACAUAAGGGUAAUUUAAAUGAACAAAUAUCAUAGUUUUUAUAAUAAUGACUAUAUAUUCUUCCAGAGAAAUGUUUAAAGAAGUCCUUAAAUACUGCAUGUGUCAAAUGCAUCACAAGAACCUUGAAUGAUGUAAAUUAAACAAGAGGAUAAGCGAGAGAAAUUAACAAUAUUUUUCGUAAGAAUUUCUUUCAAAGUACAGCAUAAUUGCAGAAGAAUGGGAUUUGAAAAAAAAUACUGGUCAAAUAAUUAACCGAACGUGUCAAGUUUUAGCCUCCUUCGCAGCCGUUCUUAGGGUCGUCACGCAACGUUUCCCUCCUUCCCACGAGUUCAGUCGUAUUUUAGCCAAAAACCACCCUUUUUUGGGUAAAUAUUUCGCGUCCUCUUUAGCUUUAAACGAAAAUAAAAUACCAUAACUCACAA